AUUGAACGCUGGCGGCAUGCCUUACACAUGCGAGUCGAACGGCAGCACGGGAGCAAUCCUGGUGGCGAGUGGCGAACGGGUGAGUAAUACAUCGGAACGUGCCCAGUAGUGGGGGAUAACCCGGCGAAAGCCGGACUAAUACCGCAUACGACCUACGGGUGAAAGCAGGGGAUCGCAAGACCUUGCGCUAUCGGAGCGGCCGAUGUCAGAUUAGCUAGUUGGNGGGGUAAAAGCCUACCAAGGCGACGAUCUGUAGCUGGUCUGAGAGGACGACCAGCCACACUGGGACUGAGACACGGCCCAGACUCCUACGGGAGGCAGCAGUGGGGAAUUUUGGACAAUGGGCGCAAGCCUGAUCCAGCCAUGCCGCGUGCGGGAAGAAGGCCU
This 387-nucleotide ribosomal RNA is filed under the name uncultured bacterium. Its description in RNAcentral is "bacterial SSU rRNA". It matches the Rfam family "Bacterial small subunit ribosomal RNA", at positions 29 to 417 of the family's 1533-position model. The record is from RNAcentral.